RNAcentral lists this ribosomal RNA (492 nucleotides) under uncultured bacterium. RNAcentral describes it as "partial 16S ribosomal RNA". It matches the Rfam family "Bacterial small subunit ribosomal RNA", at positions 29 to 507 of the family's 1533-position model. The record is from RNAcentral.
AGUGAACGCUGGCGGUAGGCCUAACACAUGCAAGUCGAACGGCAGCACAGUAAGAGCUUCCUCUUACGGGUGGCGAGUGGCGGACGGGUGAGGAAUACAUCGGAAUCUACUUUUUCGUGGGGGAUAACGUAGGGAAACUUACGCUAAUACCGCAUACGACCUACGGGUGAAAGCAGGGGAUCUUCGGACCUUGCGCGAUUGAAUGAGCCGAUGUCGGAUUAGCUAGUUGGCGGGGUAAAGGCCCACCAAGGCGACGAUCCGUAGCUGGUCUGAGAGGAUGAUCAGCCACACUGGAACUGAGACACGGUCCAGACUCCUACGGGAGGCAGCAGUGGGGAAUAUUGGACAAUGGGCGCAAGCCUGAUCCAGCCAUACCGCGUGGGUGAAGAAGGCCUUCGGGUUGUAAAGCCCUUUUGUUGGGAAAGAAAAGCAGCAGGUUAAUACCCCGCUGUUCUGACGGUACCCAAAGAAUAAGCACCGGCUAACUUCGUG